GGGUCAUUGUUGCUGAGGA
RNAcentral lists this non-coding RNA (19 nucleotides) under Mus musculus (house mouse). Lineage: Eukaryota; Metazoa; Chordata; Mammalia; Rodentia; Muridae. The record is from RNAcentral.